Molecule: transfer RNA, 77 nt
Filed under: Mycoplasma sp.
Lineage: Bacteria; Bacillati; Mycoplasmatota; Mollicutes; Mycoplasmatales; Mycoplasmataceae
Also listed under: 2 other names
Description: tRNA-Arg
Rfam family: tRNA
About the family: Transfer RNA (tRNA) molecules are approximately 80 nucleotides in length.
Source: RNAcentral
GCGCCCAUAGCUCAACUGGAUAGAGCAUUUGACUACGGAUCAAAAGGUUGGGGGUUCGAAUCCCUUUGGGCGUACCA